GUGCCAGCCGCCGCGGUAAUACAGAGGGUGCGAGCGUUGUCCGGAAUCACUGGGCGUAAAGGGCGCGUAGGUGGCCCGCCAAGUCACUGGUGAAAGCUCGAUGCUUAACAUCGAGUCGGCCAGUGAUACUGGUGGGCUGGAGCACUGUAGAGGCUCAUGGAAUUCCGGGUGUAGCGGUGGAAUGCGUAGAGAUCCGGAAGAACACCGGUGGCGAAGGCGGUGAGCUGGGCAGUUGCUGACACUGAGGCGCGACAGCGUGGGGAGCAAACAGGAUUAGAUACCCCCGUAGUCC
Molecule: ribosomal RNA, 292 nt
Filed under: uncultured bacterium
Lineage: Bacteria
Description: partial 16S ribosomal RNA
Rfam family: Bacterial small subunit ribosomal RNA
Source: RNAcentral